GACGAACGCUGGCGGCGUGCUUAACACAUGCAAGUCGAGCGGUAAGGCCCUUUCGGGGGUACACGAGCGGCGAACGGGUGAGUAACACGUGGGUGACCUGCCCUCAGCUCUGGGGUAAGCCUGGGAAACUGGGUCUAAUACCGGAUAUGACUCCAUGACGCAUGUUGUGGGGUGGAAAGCCUUGUGCGGCUGAGGAUGGGCCCGCGGCCUAUCAGCUUGUUGGUGGGGUGAUGGCCUACCAAGGCGACGACGGGUAGCCGGCCUGAGAGGGCGACCGGCCACACUGGGACUGAGACACGGCCCAGACUCCUACGGGAGGCAGCAGUGGGGAAUCUUGCGCAAUGGGCGAAAGCCUGACGCAGCGACGCCGCGUGAGGGAUGACGGCCUGGUGUAA
RNAcentral lists this ribosomal RNA (395 nucleotides) under uncultured bacterium. RNAcentral describes it as "bacterial SSU rRNA". It matches the Rfam family "Bacterial small subunit ribosomal RNA", at positions 28 to 428 of the family's 1533-position model. The record is from RNAcentral.